UGGGGAUGACGUCAAGUCCUCAUGGCCCUUAUGACCAGGGCUACACACGUGCUACAAUGGCCGGUACAAAGAGUUGCGAUACCGCGAGGUGGAGCUAAUCUCAUAAAGCCGGUCUCAGUUCGGAUUGGAGUCUGCCAACUCGACUCCAUGAAGUUGGAAUCGCUAGUAAUCGCGGAUCAGCACGCCGCGGUGAAUACGUUCCCGGGUCUU
Molecule: ribosomal RNA, 210 nt
Filed under: uncultured Geobacter sp.
Lineage: Bacteria; Pseudomonadati; Thermodesulfobacteriota; Desulfuromonadia; Geobacterales; Geobacteraceae
Description: partial 16S ribosomal RNA
Rfam family: Bacterial small subunit ribosomal RNA
Source: RNAcentral